Hypoxylon argillaceum is the source of this 115-nucleotide non-coding RNA. NCBI's taxonomy places the organism in Eukaryota, Fungi, Ascomycota, Sordariomycetes, Xylariales, Hypoxylaceae. The record is from the annotation of a GenBank genome assembly.
GGGAGUUUGGCCGAGUGGUUAAGGCGCCGUGUUUAGGUAGUAGCAAAAGGAGAUCCUUAGCAUACCAUAAAUCCCGCGGUGGGAAACCGCGCAGGUUCGAAUCCUGCAGCUCUCA